AUAAUUGCAAAGUGGUGUGGCUCCAAAAGUCUUUUCAGUGCCCUAAAAUGAAUGCCUCAAAUUUUUAAUCUCUCCAAAAGAGUACAAAUCAUUAUUUACUAUGGUUUAUUUACAAUCUGUAAAAUUUCCAGUGAAGUCUUGUGACAACAGAACACUUACAUUUCAAGACACUAAGGAAAAAUCAUACCAGUUCUGUGUAAAAUAGAAACAUUUUAUAAAUCCAGAAAUUAAUCUACAUUCUACCAUUUUCAAAACAAUUUCUGUACAGUUGCUUUGGGGAAAAACAACAAUCCACAUACCACACACAAGAUUUAAGCAUUGUAUCUAGUUUUCUCACUGUUCUGUACCACUGACAAUAUUUGAAACAAAUAAUGAACUAAUUGUUGCAUUGACAAAAUAAUUGAAAUGUUAUGAUUUAAUAAAGUACAUAAUUUAAAGGAUAUCACAUUCAUUACCAUGUUUUAAAUUAGCACGCCAUAUGUUUUUGAAUUCAAUCCUCCAAAGUUUUAAGUCAGUGAGGAUUUUGUAAAGUUAUCUCUCAAAGGAUUUGGAGGGCUAACCUAAUAUACUGUGCUCCUGAAGUUACACUCCCAGAUUGGCAAAUUAAUUUUCUACUGAAGCCAUAAAACAACCUAACAAAAAUGGUGGUUUCUAUUGGUGAUAACCUAACUAACUACCCAGUUCUAUUCUGUGGAAUUUUGAGAGGCAAUGGAAAUCCACUCCAUUAUUUAGCAAUAUUCCACAAUGGAUUGUAGUUUCCAUUGGGUUUCAGAAUUCCCUCAGCAUAUCAAAGGUUUUGCUUUGGCUGUGUAAUAUUCUUCUCUCAUCCCAGAAAUUGAGGGUUGGUGAGAGAGCUGGUGCAGAUCCAUUUCUGCUUGCAUUCGGAACUGAUCACAUGAAUAUGUGUAUUGCAGUAUACCUGAAAAUUCAUUGCAACAUAUCUGAGAGAAUGAUAGCUGAUUUCGUGCUUGCUGCAAGAGGACAAGGUGUUAAGCGUUAAUGGUGCUAAUAUCCUGCUUCCCAGAUCCUCAGCUGAAUCCUGUGGAAGGUUUUGGGUAGCAUGAGAUGGAUGGGAGUAGUUAUAAAGACGUGAUCUGUGUAAAUAACCGAAAUCUCUCCCCUCUGGUGAAUGAGUAGCAGCUGUUCCAGCCUGCAAGACUGAGAGAUUUCAGUAAGCAUGAAAACUUGAAGAGAAGUGGAAUGGAAUUCCUGGAUCAUCAAGAGUGUUAGAGUGUCAGCUGCAUUGUGUGGGUGUGUCUCAUGAACGCAACAAGGAAUUUCUGUAUCGAUGUGAAAUAAACAAUAAAUAUAUUUUAAGAAAAUAUAAAUCAAAAGUUUUCAGGAGAUAAGUUG
Molecule: long non-coding RNA, 1353 nt
Organism: Anolis carolinensis (green anole)
Lineage: Eukaryota; Metazoa; Chordata; Lepidosauria; Squamata; Anolidae
Exons: 4
Source: RefSeq, a predicted model, not a curated record